AGGAAAAGAAACCAACAGGGAUUGCCUUAGUAGCGGCGAGUGAAGCGGCAAAAGCUCAAAUUUGAAAUCUGGCUCUUUCAGAGUCCGAGUUGUAAUUUGAAGAAGGUAUCUUUGGGUCUGGCUCUUGUCUAUGUUUCUUGGAACAGAACGUCACAGAGGGUGAGAAUCCCGUGCGAUGAGAUGAUCCAGGCCUAUGUAAAGUUCCUUCGAAGAGUCGAGUUGUUUGGGAAUGCAGCUCUAAGUGGGUGGUAAAUUCCAUCUAAAGCUAAAUAUUGGCGAGAGACCGAUAGCGAACAAGUACAGUGAUGGAAAGAUGAAAAGAACUUUGAAAAGAGAGUGAAAAAGUACGUGAAAUUGUUGAAAGGGAAGGGCUUGAGAUCAGACUUGGUAUUUUGUAUGUUACUUCUUCGGGGGUGGCCUCUACAGUUUAUCGGGCCAGCAUCAGUUUGGGCGGUAGGAGAAUUGCGUUGGAAUGUGGCACGGCUUCGGUUGUGUGUUAUAGCCUUCGUCGAUACUGCCAGCCUAGACUGAGGACUGCGGUUUAUACCUAGGAUGUUGGCAUAAUGAUCUUAAGUCGCCCGU
Molecule: ribosomal RNA, 582 nt
Filed under: Candida tropicalis
Lineage: Eukaryota; Fungi; Ascomycota; Pichiomycetes; Serinales; Debaryomycetaceae
Description: eukaryotic LSU rRNA
Rfam family: Eukaryotic large subunit ribosomal RNA
Source: RNAcentral